ACAAUGCGGAACUUUUAGUUUUGCAAUUGGAUUGAGAACAAUGUACAAAUGUUAUCGAUAAACAAUUGGAGGGCAAGUCUGGUGCCAGCAGCCGCGGUAAUUCCAGCUCCAAUAGCGUAUAUUAACGUUGUUGCAGUUAAAAAGCUCGUAGUUGAAAUGUGGGAUGAAGUAUAUAAUGAAUUUAUAAUUCAAUUAUAUAUUGAUUCCCCUCUCCAAUUUAUUAUUAUGGGUAUUAAUUUAUUUGUAAUAAGAAUUGGUCAUUUACUGUGAGAAAAUUAGAGUGUUCAAAGCAGGCAUUUGCUUGAAUAGAUUAGCAUGGAAUAAUACUAAAAGGCUUUUAUGGUCGAUUUAAUUGGUUUGUUCAUAAAAGCAAGAUUAAAAGGAACAGUUGGGGGUAUUCAUAUUCAAUAGUUAGAGGUGAAAUUCUCGGAUUUAUGGAAGAUGAACAAGUGCGAAAGCA
This 460-nucleotide ribosomal RNA is filed under the name Blastocystis sp. RNAcentral describes it as "SSU rRNA". It matches the Rfam family "Eukaryotic small subunit ribosomal RNA", at positions 477 to 953 of the family's 1831-position model. The record is from RNAcentral. Lineage: Eukaryota; Bigyra; Opalinata; Blastocystidae.